CCUACGGGCGGCAGCAGUGAGGAAUAUUGGUCAAUGGACGAGAGUCUGAACCAGCCAAGUAGCGUGAAGGAUUACUGCCCUAUGGGUUGUAAACUUCUUUUAUAUGGGAAUAAAAUGUUCCACGUGUGGGAUUUUGUAUGUACCAUAUGAAUAAGGAUCGGCUAACUCCGUGCCAGCAGCCGCGGUAAUAAGGAGGAUCCGAGCGUUAUCCGGAUUUAUUGGGUUUAAAGGGAGCGUAGGUGGAUUGUUAAGUCAGUUGGGAAAGUUUUCGGAUCAAACGUAAAAUUGCAGUUGAAACUGGGAGUCUUGAGUACAGGAGAGGUGGGCGGAAUGCGUGGUGUAGCGGUGAAAUGCUUAGAUAUCACGAAGAACUCCGAUUGCGAAGGCAGUUCACUGGACUGCAACUGACACUGAGGCACGAAAGUGUGGGGAUCAAACAGGAUUAGAUACCCCUGUAGUC
Molecule: ribosomal RNA, 460 nt
Filed under: uncultured bacterium
Lineage: Bacteria
Description: partial 16S ribosomal RNA
Rfam family: Bacterial small subunit ribosomal RNA
Source: RNAcentral